RNAcentral lists this non-coding RNA (384 nucleotides) under Salmo salar (Atlantic salmon). RNAcentral's name for it is "Eukaryotic large subunit ribosomal RNA". It matches the Rfam family "Eukaryotic large subunit ribosomal RNA", at positions 3035 to 3399 of the family's 3401-position model. Lineage: Eukaryota; Metazoa; Chordata; Actinopteri; Salmoniformes; Salmonidae. The record is from Rfam by way of RNAcentral.
CCUUUCGCGGUCGCACUCAAAUCACCCAAGCACAUUUGGUGUAUGUGCUUGGCUGAGGAGCCAAUGGUGCGAAGCUACCAUCUGUGGGAUUAUGACUGAAUGCCUGUCAGAAUCCCCCCUAAACGUAACGAUACCAUAGCGCCACGGAUCUUCGGUUGGCCCGGGAUAGCCUGCCUUUUUUGGCAGGUGAGUAGAGCCGUUCGUGACGGGGUUGGGGUGCGUCCGGAUGAGUUGCCGCCCCUCUCCUGAUGCGCACUUCAUGUUUAUGGGGAACCUGGUGCUAAAUCACUCGUAGACGACCUGAUUCCGGGUCAGGGUUUCAUACGUAGCAAAGCAGUUCACUCGCUGCGAUCUAUUAUAAGUCAGCCCUCGAUCCAAACUUUU